RNAcentral lists this long non-coding RNA (602 nucleotides) under Mus pahari (shrew mouse). RNAcentral describes it as "RIKEN cDNA 4930431L21 gene (MGP_PahariEiJ_G0005666.1)". Lineage: Eukaryota; Metazoa; Chordata; Mammalia; Rodentia; Muridae. The record is from RNAcentral.
ACGGUGUUUGUUGGUUCCUUUAGGAUUUUGACUGUUUGGUUUUGAAACAAUCUUUAUAUUAUGUUUUUAAGUAUCUCUAUGUUAUCUUGGUAAUGCAGAAACAUUGGGAGGCAUCUUUGAGGUGAGGGAAACUGUCUUGAAGAGCUAAGGCCCCAGAAAAAUCACAAGUCACCAAAGUCACCCCAAGCCAGUAGCUUUCUGGUCCUGUUUUGUGGAUUUGAAAAGCCAAGGGGAAGAGCCAUUUUGAAUGUGGGGGUCAGAGGAUGCUGAAGAGCAGUUUUGUCCAAAAAGAACAUCAUCUCCAUCGGAGAAAGGGCGGCGCUGAGCCUCAGGAGAGACUCCAGUGAAAACUCUCAGUCUACAUACUUGGGCCACUAGGCAAGAAUCCAAUGUGGAGCCACAAGAAGGAACCCAGGCCCUGCACCAGUCAAGUGUGUACUCAUGCUUUAGUUAGGGUGUCCUAGGAAACAUACAACCUCGUGCUUCUUCAGGACUCUGGUGCUUCUGCAGCCCCACGAGAAGAAAAGUUCCCUGUGGGAGAUGAACGCAAGCCUACCGCACUCUUCCAGGUCCCUGACUGACAUGAUCAGAAUAGUCACCCC